UGACUCUCUUCAAGAAUCAUUUUCUUCAUCUCUACAUCGUCAGGAAUGCAAAUCCGACCUCGGAAUCUCAACACACCGUGAUCGUCGACUUUAAAUUCACCGUCUUCAUUCUGAUUACUAGCAACCAACAAGUCUACAAACUUGACAUCAACUUUCUGUGCCUCUUUAAUACUCUUCAGAAAUUCACUAUCAAUCUUCAGCAUUCCCA
RNAcentral lists this long non-coding RNA (208 nucleotides) under Medicago truncatula (barrel medic). RNAcentral's name for it is "long non-coding RNA (MTRU_LNC007329)". The record is from RNAcentral. Lineage: Eukaryota; Viridiplantae; Streptophyta; Magnoliopsida; Fabales; Fabaceae.